GGUCGAUCACACGGCCCCAAAACGAGCGAAAGUCGAAACGCCCCCCCUCAAAUUAGUCCCAGGAUAUUUUUCCCUUCAAAAAAACAAAGUCCCAGGAUAUUUUUCUGCCCGAAGCGGUGCUGUUUGUUCUCUUCCUCAUUCCCCUUCGUCCUCCACCCCGGUGGGGUUCGCGGGAAAGGCGGAGACGGCUACUCCCCUCUCGGAUCCCUCUGCUCCUCGGCGCGCAGGCAACUCCGAUCGGGUGAGUUCGCCGAUGUUAUGUUCCCUCGCACGUUUUUUUCCUCCUCUCGGUUGAGCGGGGCGAAGCGACAAUUUUAGAAAUCGACGCCAUGGGGACGAAUAGGGUGGAUCGAAGGGGGGGUCGCGGAGAGGAACCACACUAGCCAUCGUCGUGGAAGCGGCUUCAUGGCAGCAACCACGGCAAUGCCCCGUCGUGGGAGCGGCGGAGGUCUGAUUUUGGGGUGGUGGGUCUGGUGGACGAGGGAGGCUCGCUCGAUCUGCGCCGGCUGAGGAGGAGUAGGCGCGCGGUUUCGAGGGGGUGGAGGGCGCACGGCUGGCGUGGAUUGUGGAGGAGGGGCGUGGUGCCGUCUGGGCAGAGGCGCGGGGCGAACUGCAGUAGAGAAGACAACGGUGCUGCUGAAGUGCUGAUGGUAGGGUGCUUCUCCUCCGUAGGCCAACGGUGUGCUUGACGGGGAGAGUAAAGAGAUUCAGAACAUGUGUUUGAGAAUAAACAUGCAUGAUGUUCAAAACUUGGUAACCGUUCUGCUUUUUGCUUGUGAGACGAAUCAAAUAAGCUUUGGCAUUUUUUGAAUCUGCAUGAUUAUCCUUCAGUCCGAGUGCAUAAUUAUUCGUUGAGUGUUUUGAGUGCAUGGGGGCGAUUUAAUUGAUAGUCCAUGCACAAGAGUGUGAUACACGCCUAUCGAUUUCAUUUUGGUAGAGAUCCACAACAUCAUCACGUCACUUCUUAUGAUUCUCCCACUGCAGUUGCCAUUUUUUUUACCAUUGACAAUAUAAACCAUUGUGUGGUUGUCACAUUAUCCAUAGCACAGCUGCACUAUCACUAUGCACUUUUCUCGCUGUAGUACCAUAGUGUAGUGUGCCAUUUUCAUACUAGAUUGAGUGCGGCGCCCUCCUCGCCUUCUUUCCCUCCCCUCCCCUCCCGGUGCUCCACAUCUCUCAAGUGGAGGCACCUCUCCUCCCAUCUGGAUUUUUGUGCUCGCCUCAAAUCGGAGAAGCUGCCUGGUCGUUGGACGUGGAGAGGUAGCUGAGGGCACUUCAAUGUCGAGCCAUGCAUCGCGACCUGGAUCAGCAGGCAGCGGAGUGGCGCGCUCGCCAGCGACCUCGCCGGGCGGCGGUGGGCGACGGCCAGUGGUACUCCCUGCGGCGCGCUCGCCAGCUCAUUAUUCGCGGGCAACCUCCCCGGCCAUGGGCAGCCGCCGCAGUGCGCCAUGGGCACGGGCAGCAGCACCAUGUGCAGCUCCCGCGUGUCGCCGGAGGCGAUGGGCAAGUGGAGCAGCCUGUCGCCGGAUAUGGGUUUCUGUAGGGUGGGCUGCCCGUGAUGGCGGCGCCAGGAGGCACCGGAGGUCGCGCCGCCGGUUCUUCUGGGAGAGCCCCGAUGAUCCUGUUCCCUGUGGGCCAGCCAGUCAUGGAGCUUGAUUGUCGCCGGAUGGCGACAAGAAAGAGAUUCGUGAACGAAGGUGGCCUGUUGUUUCUGCUGGAGUGAGCAAUGGAUAAAUAUUCUGCCUUAUUUGACCAUGAGCAAGGUUUAACCGAUGGAAGGGCCGCUACCAAAAGACAUGAACAGAAGGUCCUAUCGCUGGAUGUUUACUGUCCAAAUCACAAGGAUCUGGGAGUACAGGAGCAAAGACUUUGCUGAACUUUAUGAGCUGGACUUCGUCGUCCUUCCACUACUUCCUGCUCCUCAUAAUACAGUCCUAUCGCUGCUGUGGUCGCGCACCAACGGACAAGUGAUUCCAAAGGUGCACCUCAUAAUACAUGUAGAAAGCAUGAACCUCCCGCAUUUAUAUGUAUAUUUAUGGAAAAAAUAUCACAUAGAGCUAUGUAAUUAGUCGUAAAUCAGCUCGCAAAGAUUUUAUCAGAUCACCCUUAAUAAGUCUUCCGGUUUGCAAGUUUUGUCUAAAGGACUCUUCAACAAGUGACUGUUCUAGCACAGCUUCAGUGGAAAGAGUGGAUCAUGCCCCCAUCAAGCCACUUGAGGAGAAAAGAUAACACAUGGCUUCACUAUUGAAAUAUAUAGCUCCACCAUUCACUUACAUAAGCUACCUCUUCUCCAAGAAAAUAUUUAUUUUGAUUCGGUUGUAGUCCUAUUUGCCUGCAAUUUAUAUCAUAAUUUGCUGCCUACACGAAUGCAUUCAGAUACUUUAUAAUUAGGACAGUAGGUGCUGCAGUUAUAAGUAGGACUGUUUGUUCAUGUAGAUGCUAUGAUUCGUUUACAAAGAAAUUUAUAAAGUAUAUGCUGCAGUUAUAAUUAGGAGUGUUUGUACAGCAAUUUAUACUUUAUGCUUUUCGUUAUGAAUUUCUCGAGUAGCAGGCAAAUAGGACUGUUUGUUCAUGUGUAUACUUUAUGAACUUUAGGGCGUUGAUUGUAGAUGGUUAUACUAUAAAUAGGACUGUUUAAAGCAUGCUCGGUUAAGAGAAAUUGGGAAAGAAGAAAACAACGAUGAUAGUGUAUUCUGCAAGUUUGUUUAUGUCAUGUUGCUUCAACAAUCUUGAUUUUAGACCAAUGUACGUGUCAUGAGUGAAUGGGAUACUACAAUAUUUAGCAAACUUAAGAUCAUGGUGGUUUUUAUGCCAAGUCAAUCCCCUCUGAAUCAAUCUUUACUUUUCUUUUCCCGUAGUGAUUUCUGUACAUAUGUUUUUCCAUGUGUAGGUAGUCUGUAUUUUUUUUCUCUACCAUCAUUCACAUUCCUACAUGGGUUCACACAAUUAUUUUAGCUUACAGUAAUGUUUGCUGCUUAUGCUAUCUGCAAGGAUUGUCAUUUUCUCACACUUCUAGAACAUUCAUUUGCUAUAUGGUCAUGCAACAAGCUUCCCCAGUUCAGUUAUUUUAGCAUUUGUUUAUCAAAAAAUAAAGAUUGUUCAGUUAAUUUAGCUUUUUAGCAACCAAGGACUGUUGAGUUAUUUUAUCUUUUUUAUCAACCAAAGACUUAUUUUAACUUUCCAAAUUGUGAUUAAAUGUUUGUGAAAGAUGGAUCAUGGAAUUUUCGUUGUGUUCUUAUCCAUUUGAUGUUAUGGAAGGGUUACUUAUUUUCUAUGUGCAUACUCUUAUCCAUUUGAUGCUAUGGAAGGUUUACUUCUUGCAGAUCUCCAAAAUUAUUGACAAGUUUCUCUAAUUCCAAAAUUAUAUUGCAGAUUAUUGAAGGAAAUUCAUUUAAUAUUUCCCUAUCUCCUAAAUAACUAUUGUACUAGAAAUGUGGAAGAUUAGAGUACAUAGUACUGAUGUACUUCCUGGUAUGCUAAUUGUGUGUCUACAUCUCUUAUCACUAAGGAUUGGUGCGUGCAUUUGGAACAGAAAUCCUUUCUUGGAAAUGUACAUUUGUUGAUUCAUGAUAUAUAUAGUAUUUAGCCUUCUGUUAUGUUGCUCCAUGUUUACAUACAUAUAUUAGUUACUUAGGUCAUGCACAUUUCUUUGAAAUUUUUUCUCCUUCUGACUGUUAAGCUUGGAAUAACAUGAGAGAGUUAAAAUGCUAUAGUUCUUAUUAUUCAUGACACACUGGGUUCAGACAAUUUUUGUUUUGUUUUACUCCUCAAAAUUUAAUUAUUACAACUUGUUAUUAAGCUAAAUACUACCUCCGUCCACGGAUAAGUGUACUUCUAGCUUUUAUCCUAAGUCAAAGUUUUAUAACUUUGACCAACUUUAUAGGAAAAAUUAGCAGCAUCUAUGGCACUAAAUUAGUAUCAAUAGAUCCAUUUUGAAAUGUAUUUUCAUAAUAUACCAAUUUGGUCAUAUAUGUUACUGCUCUUUUCUAUAUAGUUGGUCAAGUUCUUAGAACUUUGACUUAGGACAAAACGUAGAAGUACACUUAUUCGGGGACGGAGGGAGUAACUAAUUAGGUCAAUAUAAUCUGAUCUGGUUCAGUUAUCCAAGUAAAGAGUGCAUGCUCAUAUUUCCACUGAUCAAGGCAAAGAAUAAGUUCCGUCGACACAACUAAAUCGAUUUUAGAGGCUGUAAGUAGGCAGAUGAUCCACUCAUGUUCUGAUCUAUCAUGAUUCUGGUUGAAAGUUGUGUUCAACUGAAAUUAUGCAUCAAAUCCCUGGAACUUAGGUGACUACUUCUGUCCAAGAUAGUUACCAUAUCCAAUUUUAUAUAUGAUCUAUGGUGCAAGGUACUUGUGGGAUUGGAUUUUUGAGUUUGGAUCAACGAUUCAUCCCUCACCGAGAUGACAAUUUUUGUUUCUAGCUGCACCUGAAAGUUAAGAAAGUAAAACAAAAAUGCACCAAAGUUACAUUUAAAUUAAUUUAUGCUUUUGUUGGAAAAAGUGGAGAUGCAUGGCUCCUGAUGACAAAGGAAUGGUGCUGAAUUCAUGGUUUUUUUCUUCUGCUGAUUUAAUUGAGAUUUUAGGAUAAGGGACUCAUGGCUGCUAUUUAUAAAUAAACUUGAUCAUCAUUUGCUGUUUAUUUUUUAGUAUUUUUUAGCCUUAUUAUUUAGUAUUGUUUACAAGAGGAAAAUUGCACUCAAUAAGUAUUUUAAAAGUUUAACCAUAUGUGCAUCUGUAUAAAACCAUACCAUCUCCCAUCUCCGUUCUUGUUUUAAGUAAAUUUCCAUGGGUCACCCAAGCAGGUGACACACCUGAAACUUGCAAUUUUCUGUACUAUUUUGUUUCAAUCUAAUUUUGACAUUUCCCCCUGUAUGUGUGAUACUUAGGAGAGGAGCAUUGCAUGGUUUAUAUAUUGGAGAAAAAGGCAUACAUGCAGCACUACGGAUUCUAAAGGAGUGUUCGGUUCCUCUCGGCUCCUUUAACUCCGCUCCCGGAGCGGACCAGACUUUAGCUUAAUUUGACGGAGCUGCCAAAACCCAGCUCCCCAACUCCGCAGAGCAGGGAAGUUCCGAACAGGGCCCAAAUAGUAUGUGGUUAGAUUCUCUUUUUACGUUGUUGAUUAUGACUGCCAGUACAUGCUUGGAGACAACCACUGGGGCAUCGAUGCGGGCACAUGGACGAGGGGCGUGCUCGCCCAUCCGAGAUAAAAAGAGUUAAGAGGCCCAGGCUGAAAUUGCCCCUGCUUCCUUGCUGCUUGGCAAACUGUCACAGAAUCGUGUGCCUUCACAAUCACAAGGAGAUCCAUGAAUAAGGUUUAUGCAGUAUUAUUUUCCAUAUUAAUGUGGAAUCGGCAAAAGUGAAAAAGGUCUCUCGACUUGGGUAUUAAUAUGAUUUAUUCGAUGCAAUGAUUUUCCACAGCGUUGAAUCUCUAAAUGAACUAGAGCGAUGCUACACAUGAGGGAUGUGUGUGAGCUCGAUAGAAAGUACUCUGAGACGGAGCAAACCUGAAGAUUUAAAAGAUGAGAAAUCUCUUGUGGACUCAGAGAGAACAAGUAUCGGUUGUAGCGACAGUUAGUCAAUAAAAUUAAGAUUAAACAAAAGGAUGAGAUGCUGCAAACAGUAUCUUGGAGAAGUUCAUGUCAGAGUCUACAACACACGUGAAGGUUGGUUUUAAAGAGGCAACCGGGUACCUUUGAAAACCUCAAGAAGAGCCACUGGCUAGUUUGUUAGUGAUGUUGUCAUUGUGAUGCAUUGAAGUUCUUAUGCCAGCAAUUUUUAUGUAACUUAAACCAUUGAACUGAAGUUUCGUGGUUUUGCAAUUGAUACGUGGACGUAGACAACAAAGCUGAAGUGCAGUGAUCUUGUGCCGGAAUAUGUUGAUGUACAAUCAGGGUGCCGGAGUACUUGGCAGUACUGUCACCGUUGCGCCAAGUUCCAUAAUGCACAUCCUCCUAUUUCUCGCAUGGAUUUGUAAGUAAUAUGCAUCUCAACAUUUGUUCUGUCGAUGCAGACAAUGGGGUAUAUUUUAACAUAUAAGGUGGCUGGGCGACCCGCUCACUCGAGGGCUUCCUCGAUUUCC
Molecule: long non-coding RNA, 6078 nt
Organism: Triticum aestivum (bread wheat)
Lineage: Eukaryota; Viridiplantae; Streptophyta; Magnoliopsida; Poales; Poaceae
Exons: 6
Source: RefSeq, a predicted model, not a curated record